UCCUGUUAGGGGAGUGAAAUAGUAACUGAAAUCAAUUGCUAACAAGUCAGUGGGAGCUCCCUCGUGGAGUGACCGCCUGCCUUUUGUAUAAUGAGUCUGCGAGUUAUUCCCCGUAGCAAGCUUAAGCCGGUUCCCGGCGAAAGCGUAGCGAAAGCAAGUCCAAACAGGGCGCUUAGUUGCUGGGAAUAGACCCGAAGCGGAGGUGAUCUAACCAUGGCCAGGUUGAAACUCGGGUAAAACCGAGUGAAGGACCGAACUCGUCAACCUUGAGAAGUUGUGAGAUGAGCUGUGGUUAGGAGCGAAAGACUAAUCAAACCCUGUGAUAGCUGGUUCUUUCCGAAAUAUAUUUGGGUAUAGCGUCGGAUGCUGAUGAAUGGAGGUAGAGCACUAAAUAAGCUAGGGCCCCUACCGGGGUACUGAACUUAAUUAAACUCCGAAUACCAUUCAAUGAAGUCCGGCAGUCAGACUGUGGGGGAUUACCUUCAUAGUCGAGAGGAGAAUAAUCCAAACCAUCAGUUAAGGUCCCAAAAUAUGGCUCAGUGUAAAAGGAUGUGAUUUUGCUUAGACAAUGGGGAUGUUGGCUUAGAGGCAGCCAUCAUUUAAACAGUGCGUAACAGCUGACCCAUCGAGCGAAAUUGCGCCGAAAAUGAUCGGGACUUAAGCCAUAUACCGAAGCUAUGGGUGCACUCUCAAAAGUGCGCAGUAGGAAAGCGUCCCAAGUGCAGCGAAGUGGAAGGGGUAACCGACCAUGGAGCGCUUGGGAGUGAGAAUGCAGACAUAAGUAACGAUAAAGACGGUUGAAAUCCGUCUCGCCGAAAUCCCAAGGAUUCCUGGGGAAGGUUCGUCCUCCCAGGGUUAGUCGGGUGCUAAGACGAGGCCGUAAGGAAUAGUCGAUGCCAAGCAGGUUUAAUAUUCCUGCACCACCUUAUAUGCGUUCGACCUAAGGAGUGACGGAGAAAGUUAAUACAGCGACGUGUUGAAUCGUCGUCUACGCUCGUAGGCUGCUCGGGGUUUAAAGACCGGGUAAAGCUGAAAAGCAAUGGGACCUCGAGGCUACGGCCAAUGGGGAUUGUAUGAUACUCUGCUUCCGAGAAAAACUUCGCAGUUAGCAUGUGAGGUGCCCGUACCGUAAACCGACACAGGUGGGAUAGAUGAGUAUUCUAAGGCGCGCAGGUUAAAUCUCUCUAAGGAACUCGGCAAAUUAACCCCGUAUCUUCGGUAGAAGGGGUGCCUCGCAAGAGGCCGCAGUUAAUUGCGUCAACCGACUGUUUAGCAAAAACACAGCACUCUGCUAAGUCGCAAGACGACGUAUAGGGUGUGACACGUGACCAAUGCGGAAAGGUGAAAGUCUAGGGUGCAAGCUCUGGAUCUAAGCCCCCGUGAAUGUCGGCCGUAACUAUAACGGUCCUAAGGUAGCGAAAUUCCUUGUCGGGUAAGUUCCGACCCGCACGAAUCGUGUAACGAGUUGACGACUGUCUCGGAGAGAGGCCU
RNAcentral lists this ribosomal RNA (1491 nucleotides) under metagenome. RNAcentral describes it as "bacterial LSU rRNA". It matches the Rfam family "Bacterial large subunit ribosomal RNA", at positions 525 to 2034 of the family's 2925-position model. The record is from RNAcentral.